RNAcentral lists this ribosomal RNA (320 nucleotides) under uncultured Bacteroidota bacterium. RNAcentral describes it as "bacterial SSU rRNA". It matches the Rfam family "Bacterial small subunit ribosomal RNA", at positions 28 to 351 of the family's 1533-position model. The record is from RNAcentral. Lineage: Bacteria; Pseudomonadati; Bacteroidota.
GAUGAACGCUAGCGGGAGGCUUAACACAUGCAAGUCGAGGGGUAGAGGUAGCAAUACUUUGAGACCGGCGGACGGGUGCGUAACGCGUAUGCAACUUGCCUUAUACAGGGGGAUAGCCCGUGGAAACGCGGAUUAAUACUCCAUAGUUCAUUGUUACUGCCUGGUAAUAAUGGUAAAGCUGAGGUGGUAUAAGAUAGGCAUGCGUCUGAUUAGCUGGUUGGUAGGGUAACGGCCUACCAAGGCGACGAUCAGUAGGGGUUCUGAGAGGAACAACCCCCACACUGGUACUGAGACACGGACCAGACUCCUACGGGAGGCAG